AUUGAACGCUGGCGGCAUGCCUUACACAUGCAAGUCGAACGGCAGCGGGCUCUCGGUUGCUGGCGUGAUGGCGAGUGGCGAACAAGUGAGUGAUACAUCGGAGCGUGCGGUGGAGAAGGGGGUAAAAAGUUGGCUGAUUCCCUAAUCGAGCAUACGAUCUGAGGGGGGGAGCGGAGGACCGCGCGGGCUCGUGCUAUAGGAGCGGCGGAUGUCUGUUUGGCAGUUGGUGAGGUAACGGCUUACCAAGCCGACGACCUGUAGCUGGUCUGAGAGGACGAUCAGCCACACUGGGACUGAGACACGGCCCAGACUCCUACGGGAGGCAGCAGUGGGGAAUUUUGGACAAUGGGCGCAAGCCUGAUCCAGCCAUGCCGCGUGCAGGAUGAAGGCCUUCGGGUUGUAAACUGCUUUUGUACGGAAAGAAAAGCCUUCUUUUAAUACAGGGGGGUCAUGACGGUACCGGAAGAAUAAGCACCGGCUAACUACGUG
RNAcentral lists this ribosomal RNA (489 nucleotides) under uncultured bacterium. Its description in RNAcentral is "partial 16S ribosomal RNA". It matches the Rfam family "Bacterial small subunit ribosomal RNA", at positions 30 to 507 of the family's 1533-position model. The record is from RNAcentral.